RNAcentral lists this transfer RNA (73 nucleotides) under Saprospirales bacterium. RNAcentral describes it as "tRNA-Lys". It matches the Rfam family "tRNA". From Rfam's summary of the family: Transfer RNA (tRNA) molecules are approximately 80 nucleotides in length. Lineage: Bacteria; Pseudomonadati; Bacteroidota; Saprospiria; Saprospirales. The record is from RNAcentral.
GAUCUCGUAGCUCAGCUGGCAGAGCAUCUGACUUUUAAUCAGAGGGUCCUGGGUUCGAUUCCCAGCGAGAUCA